UGCCCUACGGGAGGCAGCAGUGGGGGAUAUUGGACAAUGGGGGGAACCCUGAUCCAGCGACGCCGCGUGGGCGACGGAGUACUUCGGUAUGUAAAGCCCUAUCAGCAGGGAAGAAAAUGACGGUACCUGACUAAGAAGCCCCGGCUAAAUACGUGCCAGCAGCCGCGGUGAUACGUAUGGGGCAAGCGUUAUCCGGAUUUACUGGGUGUAAAGGGAGCGUAGGCGGCCUGGCAAGCCUGAUGUGAAAUACCGGGGCCCAACCCCGGGGCUGCAUUGGGAACUGCCAGGCUGGAGUGCCGGAGAGG
RNAcentral lists this ribosomal RNA (305 nucleotides) under uncultured bacterium. Its description in RNAcentral is "bacterial SSU rRNA". It matches the Rfam family "Bacterial small subunit ribosomal RNA", at positions 335 to 657 of the family's 1533-position model. The record is from RNAcentral.